Pocillopora verrucosa is the source of this 2015-nucleotide non-coding RNA. The record is from RefSeq and is a predicted model, not a curated record. NCBI's taxonomy places the organism in Eukaryota, Metazoa, Cnidaria, Anthozoa, Scleractinia, Pocilloporidae.
UCGAGACCGAAAUUACGAUUAUCGUUAUUUCUAAAUUGGCACCAAAUUUAUGGAUAUAGUAAUUUCGUGGCACUCUUUACCAAUGCUCUUUACACGUGUUAAAUAAAGAGAAGGACUCGGUUCCACUGUCUUACAACAUUCAAGAUGGCGGAGGAAAGGGGUAAAUGUGCGUUCAGUUGUGAUCAGCAUGAUCUCGACACCAAAAUAACGAUUAUCGUUAUUUCUAAAUUGGCCCUGAAAUAACGAAUAUCAUAAUUUCAGUGCAUGUCUGAGACCUUCGGGCUCGAAGCUUGGGAACUAGUAUUCAGGGAAAGAUAAAAUGGCGGCUUACGGCGGCGAAGGAAAUCUCAGUAGUUUAAUAUUUUAGCGUGAAAAGGCUUGGGUGUUGUGAUCUGGUUCUCAAGAAAAAAAAAAAUCACGGUCUGCAAUGGCCCUACCACCUUUUGAACAACAAGAAAACAUUGAAACGGUGGUAAAAAGCAGCAAGUUUCGAAGUCUAAACGAAAGAUGGGUGGUCAUUAUCCAUUACUUUUGGAAGUCGAUGCUGAUGAGAAAGAAAAAAUGUUUAUGAUUAUUUCUUCUCUCGAACAUUUUACUAUUUAGGUACCAAAUAAUCUUGAUACUGAAGAUCAUUGCAUCCAUUAUGAAAAAAUUACCCUUGAUUGCUUUGUCAACUGGAAUGUAUAAUGUAAUAUACCUUGUGAUUUGUGGGAUUUUCACAAGUAAACUAGAAAUACUUGAAGAGGGUAAUGAUGUACUUAAUGCAGAGCAUUUGGUACAAAGUCUGCUUUGCUGUAAUCUACCUGAAGGUGCUUUUUAUAUGCUAGUAAGACUUGCACAGCCCAGUCAAAAUGUUUUUGAGUAGUAGAAAAGCUGGCCAAACCUCUUCCUGAAAAGCAGUCUGAAAAAUGUGAAGUUAGCGGAAGGUACUUCAUUGUAGGCGGCCAAAUUGUAAGCUGCCAGCCCAUUUUGAGUGAGCAGUAAAACUCAAGAUUGGCUAUUUUAGCUAAUUUUAUUGAGAACCAAAUUCCCAGCAACGGGCACAAUUUUACUGGGCUAUUUGUUAUUUAACUACUUAGUAAUAUUCUUAUUAAAAUUUACUGCAUUCCUUUCUAAUAAUUUGCUGCUGAUUGUAUGCUGUAUAUAGCUUAUGAUUUGUGUGAUUUUCACAAGUAAAUUAGAAAUACCUGAAGAUGGUAAUGAUGUACUAGAUAAUGUACUUGAUGCAAAGCUAUUUUGGUGCAAAGUGUGUGCCUUGUCCGUAGGUGAUUUUGCAUGCUAAUAAGACUUGUAAUUCAAAUAAUACACAUCAGCUGGAGUGGGAAUAUUAAAAGAAAAAUAAUAAUAUUUAGCUAUACCAAGUUCUGGUUUUAUGUCCAAAGUGUGUGCCUUGUCCGUAGGUGAUUUUGCAUGCUAAUAAGACUUGUAAUUCAAAUAAUACACAUCAGCUGGAGUGGGAAUAUUAAAAGAAAAAUAAUAAUAUUUAGCUAUACCAAGUUCUGGUUUUAUGUCCAAAUUAAGCACUUAGUUGAAGAUCACUGCACUGCUCAGGUCCAGAAGGCUGAAAGAGUACUGUCUGCUGUUAGUUUGAUUUUUGUCAUUUCUAUUGAUUUAUUUUAUUUAUCAAUGUUUCUUUGAAUUGUAAUUCAUUGAUCUCUUUCAAUAGUGCAGGUUCGCUCAUGUAACCUAAUCUCCCACUUAUGUAUGUAUGUAUGGAUGAGCUCAGUCAAAAUGUUUUUGAGUGGAAGGCAAGCUGGUGAUAGUAAUAGGCAGCAGAGGCUGAACCUUGUCUUGAAUGGAAGUGUGAAAAGUGUGAAGUUAGCGGCAGCUAUAUUGUGGCAGGCAGCCAAAUUGUCAGCUGUGGCACAUUUUGACUGGGCUGAUUGUGUGUAGUAUAUAUGUGCACUUCUUUUAGGGUGUUAAACAGGUUAAAGUACCAAGAAAUCCUCUGUGAUAACUUGAUAAUUCAAGAUGUAAAAAUUUUAAAUAAUAAGGUAAAGCUUGAUCAUUCUUAA